GACGAACGCUGGCGGCGUGCUUAACACAUGCAAGUCGAACGGAAAGGCCCUGCGGUUGUGGGGUGCUCGAGUGGCGAACGUGUGAGUAACACGGGAGUAACCUGCCCUGGACUUUGGGAUAACUUCAGGAAACUGGGGCUAAUACCGGAUAGGAGCUCCUGCUGCAUGGUGGGGGUUGGAAAGUUUCGGCGGUUGGGGAUGGACUCGCGGCUUAUCAGCUUGUGGGUGGGGUAGUGGCUGACCAAGGCUCUGACGGGUAGCCGGCCUGAGAGGGUGACAGGCCACAUUAGGACGGAGAUACGGCACAGACUCCUCCGGGAGGCAGGAGUGGGGAAUAUUGCACAAUGGGCGGAAGCAUGCUGCAGCAACGCGGCGUGCGGGAUGACGACCAUCGGGUUGUAAACCGCUUUCGCAUCUGAAGAAGAGUGAGUGACGGUAAUGGGUAAAGAAGCCCCGGCUAACUACGUG
RNAcentral lists this ribosomal RNA (468 nucleotides) under uncultured bacterium. RNAcentral describes it as "partial 16S ribosomal RNA". It matches the Rfam family "Bacterial small subunit ribosomal RNA", at positions 28 to 507 of the family's 1533-position model. The record is from RNAcentral.